AUCAGGUGACAAGAGCCUAUGAAUUGCAAACUCCUUAUUAAUGGCACACAGGGAGUAAAAUCAUAAUUUUUCUGAUGACUUCUGUUGAAGAGUUGUCUGAUGCUGAAUUUAUUCAUUUGUAAAAUGAAUCUUGAAUUGCAUUAUUUCAAAAUUCUUUUCUUGUUCCAAAAUGCAUUUUCCCCCAUGUUUGUACAUAAGCACAAUACAUGAAAUUUAAACUACAAUAGUCUCUAGUGGAAAGAUUUCAAGUCCCUUGAGAAUUUCUAUUUUAUUUUUCUCUCUUGGUAUAAAGUCCCCUGAAAACACUAAAAACUCAUGAGCCGAGAGAAGCAGUUGAGCUGACGUAUGACUAAAGCAUUCCUUAUAACAUUAAUGCCCUAUUUUCUCAUUGUUCAAUAUUGGACAGAUUUUCUAACAUUCCAAAUCUGGCUGAUCUAUCAGUAGACUUACAUUUUAAUGAGAUUCCAAACAUUUACAUGUGAUGCUCUGUAAACUGGAUAACAUUGCAAAGUACUUCACUGGAAAAUAUGAAUUAUUAUGUACUUCAUUUAUUUUGACUUAAAUUACUCAAUGGCCUUAGUGUGUCUCCAUGGGUAUUUAUUCUCUUUUUUUGGUAAAAUGUCAUAUCCUGAAGGUCUAAACACCUAAGCUUUCCAUCAUAUUUUUCUCUUUGAAUAAUAGGUAUUAAUUCUAUAAGGUCACCUUGAAUUAUGUAAAACAAAAAAAAACAAAAAACAAAAAAUGCCUUCAUUAUGUUGUACCAAACUCAAUUGGUUUACCCAGUCUAUUGACAUCAUCUGGAGAUUAACCAAAGUUUAACACUGAAUUUUGCAUAUUUCCAGAUGAAAUACCAGACUGAUUUCUGCUCAUUUUUUUAAAGUGUAUUUCUUAAACCUUAAGAAUUUAUUUUGAAUAAGUUUACUUUUGUAUCAUAAAAUCUGGAAGAUGAAUGACAUUUGAAGAAAGUAAACUGUUCAAUGAAGACUCAAGCAAUCAUCAAAUUUAAAUAUUCCAAUAUGAUCAAUCCAAUUUUACUCUUAAGUUAUUCAUUGUAUUAUAAAAAAGUCACUAUAAGCUUUCCUUACUUGGAUACUCUAAUUUCUAAUUUUAUUUCUUCUGAUUCAUUGUGAACCUAUUUAAUAUAAGUCAGGAGGUGUUUUUCGGUACUCUUGGGGAGGAAGGAGCAAUUUUUUACUGGAAAAAUUUUAUUUCUGACUUAAUAUUAAUUAUUCUCUUGAAGUAAGCUUGAAGUCUCUUUUAAAAUGUGUCAUAUUUAAUUUUCCUUUGGACUUCUUUAAAGUUUAGGUUUCUUUUACAUGUAUUGAGAAUAUGUUCGCUGGGGCAAGAGAUUAUGAGAGCAAAUUUAGGAUUGAUUGGAUAGCCUCAAUUAAAUGGGGGGGAGGAUAUGAUUUUUUAAAAUGUCUUCUCAGGCCUCACACAUGGAUUGACACUUCAUAGGUACUCAAAGAUGUUAAACUACUUAUUGAGUGGUUCUCCUCUAGGAGUUUGACUCUCUUGGUUCAGACAUGCGGUUCUGUGUAUUUGCCUAAGUAGUGUUUUGUUAUUACCUCAGUUUUUGUUUUACUGACCAUCCUUUGUGAAUUUUUGACUAUAAAGAUGGAGCAUACAUUGACAGUGCUAAAACCUGAUCUUCAGUUUUGAAAAUAUUAAUAUGGAUAUGGCUCAAAUUUGGAGUUUUCAAAUAGUGGUUUCUUAAGUUGUGUGUAGCACAAUAGUUAAACCAUCCUGAGGACUGUCUGUGUAAUCCUCAGCAACACUUGGAAGGAAAGGAGAUUAAGUAAUCACUAUUGUGAUUUUUAGUCCCUGGGGAAACAAAGAAAAUAGAGGGAGUAGACUCUUGGACUAAUUAGGAAGUGAGAUAAGGGUCAAUGAUCCCCUCCAAUAUUGGAAACAGCAAAGAUGACCAGGCAGGGGAGAUUUUGCCAAAUCCAGAAGUACUGAAAUUGGCAGCAAGGAAAAAGGUUUAAUUUUUCAGAGUAAUGUAAGUUAAUUAUCCAAAGGAUGGGAGUUUCGUUGAAGAUGAGAAAAGAGUCUAUUUCAGAACUUGAAGGAAGAAGGACGGAGGCAAGAUGUAGAAGAAAUAAUGUAGGUUGCUAGGAUGGCAGGUGCUUGGGGACCAGUUCAAGUGGUUAUUUAACUCUAGUCAUUUGGUCUUCACUCUCCAACACCCUCACCUGUCCUCGAGGAAGAAGAUGAAGCCAUGGGGAGGAACAGACUAAGCAAAAUGUAAGUACUGGGUGAGGUCACUUUUUAUUUCUUUUCUCUACUUUCAUGUCCCAUUUUUGCAUCUGAAGGCUCUGUCCAGGGCCUUCUUCCUCUCUACCAGCCCCUCCUCCUUCUCAAGUUUUUGAUAGGCAGAAACCUUACUUCUUUCUUUUUUUUCCAAUCAUUUAGGACUUUUAGGGAAAUUUCACAUUACAGAGAAUCAGUUUUCAGAAACUACCAAGGUAAAGCAUUCCAAAACUCAUAAAAAAUGAAUAAAAAUAAACUGACAUUAGAAAUGAUAUUGUCUAAUCAUUAACUAUCAAGAAAAUUACCAUUGACUUUGUAUUGCCCAGUUAUCACUACUUCUCUUCCCAUUGGUCAACUUGCAUCACUGACUUAAAUAAUUCAGGGGUGGAUUUCUAUGUUGAGAUUAGUUUAAAAAAAUUUUUUUUGGAGUUUUGGAGUUUUGUGGCUCAGCAGAAAUGAAUCUGACUAGCAUCCAUGAAGAUACAGGUUUGAUCCCUGGCCUUGCUCAUGGGUUAAGGAUCUGGCGUUGCCAUGAGCUGUGGUGUAGGUCACAGAUGAAGCUCAGAUCUGGCUUUGCUGUGGCUGUGGCAUAGUGAGGCAUCUGUAGCUCUGAUUUGACCCCUAGCCUGGGAACCUCCAUAUGCUGAGGGUAUGGCACUAAAAAGAUUUUUUAAAAAUUUGUUUUUAUUUUAAUAAAUAUUAUUCAAAUAUUGUAAACUGAACCAGGGUAGAGGAUUGUCUGUUUCCUUACCAACAUGCACACAAAUCCAGACUAGUGCUGCACACAGUAGAACAUGACAUUAAAGGAUUCCGGUGCUGGAGCUGAACACCAUGGGUUGGCUGUGGUGCUGCCAUCUUAAGACACUGGGCAUCCAAUUAACUCUUCUCUGUCUCAGCACAAUGAGAUUCUAAGCAUCCCAUUAAUACUCUGGCACCAAAUAGAGAUAAUAAUAGUUUCUACCAGGUAAGGUUGUUGUGAGAGAUAAAGGAUUUAAACAUGCAAAUUCCAAAUCUCCCUGAUAUGUCCAACCUUCAUUUUUGCUAUUAUUAUUUUUAUUAUUGGUGGUGGUGAAGGUAGCAUUAAUAACUAUUUAAGAAAAAGGGGAAAGAUCAGAGUUCACAUAGAUUUGUAAGAAUUGAAUAAAAUAACACAUAACAAAAGGAAAAACUGUUAAUAAUUACCGCUGACAAGGAUAUUCAUAUUGAGAACUAGUGUCAAGAAUCUUUACCCUUCUCUGAACUCACAGUGUGGGCAGAAGUAUGUGGCUUUGCACACACUUUGACUUCCCCUCUAAUAUACCUACAUACCUCUUUUUCCUGAUACAUUCUCAAAAAUGCCUCAAGAACCAUGUCAAAAAUAAUUUUCCUAGGACCUCACCCCAGGCAUUUCUUCUGAUCCCAAUGUGUUGUUCUUAUCAUUGUUAUGUCACACCUUUUCUCAUGGUAAUAUGUGGAAUGAUCAUGUGAAAUAUUAAUAAUGUUUCAUUUUUUAGAGUUGCCAUUUCCAUCUUGUCAGAAUGGACUUGACUCCUGAGGUUGCAAGAUUUCUUGGAGUCUUGAAUGUUUUAAUGCAUUUGGAGAUUUUUUUUUUUAAGUUGGCACAUUUCCCAAAUUUACACCAGCCUAUAACUGUUUCUAAUUCUGAGAAAUCUUUUAAUACAUCUUGAAGUACUGCAAAAUGUAAAUUCCAAUAAUUUGAUUACAUGAUUUCUGCUUUCCAUAAAGAAAAGUGACCCCUUUUGUACCUUUUUCUACCUCUAUUGCCCAACUAAUGUAUGAAUCUCUAUGAAUACAUUAUUUAAGAAUGAUUGAGUGAUAACUAUAUACUAGAUCAAAUACAAGUCACUGGGAAUACAACGACAAACAAUAUGCCCCACAUCCAAUUGAACUUACUUUCUAAAGCAGUACUUCUCAUAAAGUCCUUAUAAAAAUAUGCAUUGUUGUAAUCCUAAUUCCUAGAACUACUUCUGAGAAAUUUAUUCAGUAGGUUUGGCAGGAAGCAGUUUGUUAUGGGGAGUUUUUGGUCCACUUCAUAAGAAUGACACUGGUGUAUUCAUUAGGAUAUUUUUUAGCUAUAAGUACAAAAAAUCGAUUCAACUUGCCUUAAGCAAAAACAGGAAAUUUUACCAACAAGAUAGUGAAAGCUAGGCAUGUCUAGAUCAGGGUCCAAAAAUCAUAUUUUAAGGAAAUCAUCUCUCUUCCUUUAUUAGCUAUUUGUUUCCUCUUUGCUGGCUUAAUUCUUAAGCAAUCUCUCUCAUUCUAGAAGUCCUAAAUAGCUUUAGGUAUACAUUCUCAGAGUUGAGCAGAAAGAGAGCUAUGAGAGCUUUUCUUUUGACAAGUCCUGGGAUUAACGUUCAUUGACCUCUCAGAGAUUUCACUGAAUCUCUGUGUCAAUACCCUCUGCUCUUUUUAUUAUUCUAUUUUCUUCUUUGUCUUAAAUCAACAGUAAUCACCACAGAAUGACAAAAUGAUUGUACUUGGUUGAAUAACAUCAACCUGACAAAAUUCACAGGGUCAAUAUAUAUAUUUUAGUUUAUAUAUAUUUCAUUAUAUAUUUCAGGCUACAUCUGCAGCAAAUGGAAGUUUCUGGGCCAGAAUCAGAGCUGCAGUUGUGGCCUAUACCACAGCAACAGAAACACCAGAUCUAAGCGACAUCUACAACUACAGCUUGUGACAACACCAGAUCCUUAACCAGCUGAGCCAGGGCAGGGAUUGAUCCUGCAUCCUUAGAGAGAUAACAUCAGGUUUUUAACCUGCUGACCCAUAACAGGAAUUCCUUGAAAUAUGUGUACUUGAAAUAAAGUCUUUAUAAAUGUGAAAAAAAAAGUGUAAUUGACC
Molecule: long non-coding RNA, 5091 nt
Filed under: Sus scrofa (pig)
Lineage: Eukaryota; Metazoa; Chordata; Mammalia; Artiodactyla; Suidae
Description: lncRNA (ENSSSCG00015005778.1)
Source: RNAcentral